Molecule: long non-coding RNA, 2817 nt
Filed under: Homo sapiens (human)
Lineage: Eukaryota; Metazoa; Chordata; Mammalia; Primates; Hominidae
Description: long intergenic non-protein coding RNA 3013
Source: RNAcentral
AGAGAAGACUGGCAGCUGCAGAGCAGGACAGACCAGAUUGGCCAGUACAACAGCAGAGGGCCAUGUUGGGCUUUGACUCAGGAAUCCUGGUGGAGGCAAUGAUGAGAGAGAAGAGAUAAAACACACUAGGUAAGCCAAGGUAGUUGUCAGGAUAGAAGGAGACAGGCAGGCCAGAUGGCUGUUAACCGUGUGGUGUGUCCCAACUUUCCAGCAUCAAUUUAAUGGCCAAAUUAAAAUCAGAGCCAAGUGUUAGAGUUAUUGCUGCCUGAGUUAUAACAGCUGCCCUGGGAAUCUUGUCUGAACAACAAGUUAACUGCUGUUCCCAGUUAUAUCUGGUCUUUCCCACCCCCAAACAUACACAAAAGAUUUUUGUCAUUCUUGGCACUGGACAACAGAAGUGAUAAGACAUGCCAGCAGAACUCUAAAGGCAGAAUGUCCUUCCACCUGUUUUAUGCUGUAAGACAAACUUCCAAGUGCGAGGCAGUGUGGAGGGCUGUUGCCUUGAAUGGCAGCUGAAUGCACCAGCGGGAUCCUUGGCAGCAAUGCCCAGGCACUGAAGUCGGGCAUUCAGGAGAGCUAAAUGGAGAAAAGAAACUUGAGCAAACUGCUUCCUGGAACACUGAGAACCUGAAUGGGAAAUUAAGAAGAACCAGAUUCUUUCUAUUCUUCCACCAGCCAAGGUGAUGAGCACAAAAGGAUCCAUCUUAUACAGUGCUUGCCAGCUUCCAUAAUACUACUCACCACGAUGUUGAAAUCACCUGUUCCAGAACCAGUCCUGUCCUUUGACAAGAAGGAUUUAAUUAUCAGUAGUGGUGGGGACUGGCUGGAGAGAGGAAAAACACUUCAAGGACUCUGCCACCUUUCGUAGAUGGAGAGUGCAAAGUUUGUACCAUGGAACUCCUUCUCUAACAGUUACUCUGUGGCAGUGCCUAUUUCAAACCUCCCUUAACUUCUGAUUGUAUAGAUGUUUGUUUCAUUUGUUCAUCUGUUUGUUCACUUAGUCAGAGAUGUUUUAAGCCUUAAGAGAAAUAGUGGACUAGAAAAUGCCUUGGAAAAGUACAAAGUUCAAUCCAAGUAAACUGUUUUUAAACUAGGAAUUUAUGAAGCCUAAAAUAUAAAAUGUAUAUACAUGGAUAUGCUCUGAAGUGAGGUAGAGGGGUAGAAAUCAACAUUGUGAUAUUGUACUAUAGUUUUGCAAGAUGUUACCAUUGGGGGAAAAUGUUUGAAGGGUAUACGGGAUAUCUCUGCCUUAUUUCUUACAACUGCAUGUGAAUCUACAGUUAUCUCAAAAUAAAAAUUUAAUUAACAAUUGAUUACAAUUAACAGCAUUAAUUUCUUAUCCUGUCAUUUUCCUUCUCCUGAAAUUGCAGAAUAGCCAAACAGAAACCUACCCAUGACCACCAUCUGAGAUUCUUUGGUGCCCGUAUUAGUGGACAUAGGCAGGUGUAUCAGGAGGCAUCCAGUCACGCAUACUGGAAGAUACUGACUCAACUGAUUUAAGCAAAGGAAAAUACAGUGUAUUAUAUAAUGAGACAUCUUGAGUAGGGUAGUCCUAGGGUCAGUUGAUUCAGCAGCUUGAUUGAUAAUCAAGGGCCCAAAUUCUUUCCCACUUUCUACCCUGCCAUCCUCAGCCUAUCAGUUUCGUCCUCCAGCUGGCUUAAAGGUAGUUGCAAGGUGGCUGCUAUCAUGCCAUGCAAAAUGCAAAUGCAAAAAGUAUGCAGAUACAAAAAGUAUCUCUUUUCAUAAGUCUCAUUUUAAGGGCAAGGAAAAACCUGCAGGCCUUUCUGCCACUCUCUUGACCCACUUACUUAACUGUGGAACAAGUCACAAACACCUGUUUAAGUGGAUCACUUGGCCAGGAGGGAGAGAUUGCCAUUAUCCUUAGAUGGAGGAGAAUGGGGGUGGGGGUUGUUAUGCCUGAACAUAAUCAGUGCUCUGCCAGUGAGUAAGAGCAGAGAUGGGGUGAUUAAUAGGCAACCCCUCACCAAGGAGCCAUUGUAAAGCUUCAGGCCAGUUCAGAAGGUGAUGAAGAUGGAAAGCCUCCAAAGCAACCAGAACAACCAGAAGGAACACGCUUUUACAGCUUGCUUCUGAUUCCACACCGCGAGGACAAUGGGUCCAGCAUGCCACACUGAUCCAGGAACUUAGAACUAAGUAAGAAGCAAGGGAGAGAGGCUGCUAUAGCUGAAACCCAGAGAAUGAACUUUCUCCCAGGAGGUUGCAAGGGCUGCCCUUGUAAAAGAUCCUGUCCUGGGUUUAAAGGUUAGCAAAUUUUCUGUUUUGUUUUGCUUUGACUGCAUGAGGGUUGAGUUAAAGUGAAAUAAUAUUUAAGACUUAUUUUUUAAAUAAGAUAUUUUAUGUUUUUAUUUUUGUUUUUUUUUUUUUUUUUGGUUGGUAGAGACAGGGUCUCACUGUGUUGCCCAGGCUGGUUUUGAACACCUGGGCUUCUAAUCCUCCUGCCUCAGCCUCCCAAAGUGCUAGCAUCACAGGCAUGUGCCACCACACCCAACCCCUUAAAAGUCUUUUUACAAAUGAGAACAUGAACAAUUGCCUUUCAGAUUAUUUCCUGGUCAUCAAAGAUUUCUUUCUUUAUUUACAUAAAGGGGACAGGGGUCAGUCUGUGUAUUGGAAGAUGUGCCCAUAUUUGGUCACAUAUUGGAAGAGUACAAAAUUGCCCAAAUAAGGGAUAUUUAUUGCCUUCCUGACUGCAGACUCAAGGAGGCAGGAACUUUGACAUUUUCUCCAAUGCCUAUCUGUAUCCACAUUGCCUGUAACAUAGUAUAUGCUCAAUAAAUAUUGAUUGAACUAAUUAAAAAA